Molecule: ribosomal RNA, 519 nt
Filed under: uncultured delta proteobacterium
Lineage: Bacteria; Deltaproteobacteria
Description: bacterial SSU rRNA
Rfam family: Bacterial small subunit ribosomal RNA
Source: RNAcentral
GCUGGCGGCGUGCCUAACACAUGCAAGUCGAACGAGUAAACUCCGAGCUUGCUCGGAGGAGUAAAGUGGCGAACGGGUGAGUAUCGCGUGGGUAACCUGCCCCUGAAUCUGGGAUAACUUCGCGAAAGCGUUGCUAAUACCGGAUAUUGUCCUUUUUGCUUAUGCAUUUAGAAUGAAAGGCAACCUCUUCAUGAAAGUUGCCGUUUGGGGACGGGCCCGCGUCCCAUUAGCUUGUUGGUAGGGUAACGGCCUACCAAGGCUACGAUGGGUAGCUGGUCUGAGAGGAUGAUCAGCCACACUGGCACUGAAACACGGGCCAGACUCCUACGGGAGGCAGCAGUGAGGAAUUUUGCGCAAUGGGGGAAACCCUGACGCAGCAACGCCGUGUGAGUGAAGAAGGCUUUCGGGUCGUAAAGCUCUGUCAAGUGGGAAAAAACGCUUUCGGUUAAUAGCCGAAAGAACUGAUGGUACCACUGGAGGAAGCACCGGCUAACUCCGUGCCAGCAGCCGCGGUAAUAC